Molecule: long non-coding RNA, 18090 nt
Filed under: Olea europaea (common olive)
Lineage: Eukaryota; Viridiplantae; Streptophyta; Magnoliopsida; Lamiales; Oleaceae
Description: long non-coding RNA (OEUR_LNC001835)
Source: RNAcentral
AAAAGGUAAAAGAACACAAACCACACUUUAAUUGAGCUAAAACAAGAUGAAAUGUAAGACAACAUUGAGGUGAAAUAAGGCUGGUAAGAUAGGCCAAUAACCCUCAAUAAAACAAAUUAUAGGCUAGAAAUUAUGUCAAAUUACUCAAAAUGCAAGGCAGAUUUUGAGGAGUACUAGUAAACAAGGCCUUACCGUUACAUGUUCUUUAUUCAUUGCUUCCCAUAACAUCCUUUUCAAUUGCAUCUCCUUUUUGUUGUUAAGAUAUCCAACAAUCUGAAAAGCAUAAAAAUUUGCUCAAAUGAAUCUCCAACUCAGGGCUCUAGUCAUAAAUGCUUGAUUCCCAUUCAUAUUCUGAACUAUGCAUCCUUUUUAUUUUCACAAGAUGUAAUUCUUACUGACUUAUCAGCCUUGAAAAUGUUAGAUAUUAUCAACGACCAAAAAGAUUUCAUUAACAGAGUUCAGCAAGGUACAGGACAAAAGAAGAAGCAUUAGAAAUUUCCAGGGUGCAUAGAAGUUUUGAUUAUUCAAACAAAAGUAAAGGUAUUCUCAUGCAAUGCAUGAAAGUGAACUUACCUCUAUAACAAAAACACUUGCAGGAACCAUUGCCAGACUUUAAACAAAUAAUGCAUGUGAAAAAAAAAGCAUAUACCUCAGAAUCAUCAAUAUCGGAAAGACUUUCUGACCCGUCAGAUUUUGUUCUACUUCUUUUCUUGUACCUUUGUCUUUUACUAGAAGAAUUCUUACUGAAGUCCUGAUGAACGGCAGAAGCAUCUGAGACAUAAAGAAAUUACAUAAUCUAAAACUUCUGCAACUACCCAUUGUCUUAAUCCAAAAGAUUCUGCUUAAGAAAUUUCAUACACAAAAGUUGUGAGAACAACAUUAAAGAUUACCGCCAGAUGCUCUUAGUUGCAAAUUUCUAGGUUGGGUAGCAACUGCACCUCUGUGGGAAGUCCCAACUUCAACUGUCUACAAAACAAAUAAAAUAAUUAAGAAAUGUGAGAUUUACAAUAACUGGGAUCUAUUUUAUAUGACUUCUAGUUGAAUGAAACUUUUAUCAGCAUGAUCUUACAGUUUGAUAUAAGAAUAAAGCUUCCCACAAACCAACACUCUGCUGGUAAAGGAAUCAGCUCUUGAUAUCAUUUUUGAAAAGGAAGUUUCCAUCUUUUAUUGAAAAAAUAAUAAUAAUAAAAAGGAGGAAAAAAUUAAAAAUAUUGAAAAUGCCAAUGUGACCAAGCAAAUAAAUAAAUCGGGCAUUUUGGCUAACCAAUUUGGACAAAAAGGCCUAGAAAGGAUAAAUGAUUGCCUAUAUACUAUGAAAUAAUAAUAUCAACGCGUAGAAUACGCUGCAACAAGUGAAUGAGUUUGGGCGUUUCAAUACUAUCAAAUAACCAUAUGUUUCUAAUUGAAUAAUCAACAUGUAUAAAAUCAUCCAAUCUUAGCAAUACUGUACAAUUUCAUACGCUGAAAAUUCAUGGAAAUAUACGAAUUAAAGGAAAAAAAGGAGAAAGAAAGAAAUUACUGUUGUUUCUAGAGUUUGAAUUCACUCCUUCGAAAACAAUCCAACAGAAUUACCUGAAUGCAAGAAUUGAUCAACAGGAUCCAAAAUUGUAAUUCGAGCCCACCGACUUCACGAUGUUUCCUUAAAACGAAUUUGCUGCCUUCAAUGGUGCUAAAGGCAUCCAACAAUCGUUUUCCAGGAUAGAACGAAUUUUCGUCUCCUACGGAAGCAGCACUGCAGUCUGUAGGAGUUCCAACGAACUCAACGAAAUGCUUUUUAUUUCGAGACAAUAUCAGAACGAGAGAGAGGGAAAUGAGAUUCAAAGCAUAGAAAGUUUGCAAUGAAAAUGGUGUGAAUUUUCUGGUAGAAAGGCUGGCUAUUUAUAGACUUGUUCAUGGCCAUUCGAACAGUCAUCACCUUUUAGACAAGCUUCAAAAAUCCGAACAGACAUACUGUUCUUAAAAGUCGUGUCUGUUAAGUCGGUUAACAGUUGGUUGUUUGGUCGGUAAACAGUCGACUGUUUGGUCGCUAAACAGUCGAAACAGUCGACUGUUAAAAGAAAAUAGAACACUCGGAAUAAGCCAAAAUUUAAAUUUCAUUUUGUACCCAAGAAUUUGAUUAUUUACAAUUUGGCCCAAAAUUUUAAAUAAAUUUUGUCCAAAAAGUUAAUAUAGUGUAAAGGUCCACCCACACCCGCACCCGCACCGGACCGGACUCGGGCUCGUGCCAUGCCGAGCCGGCCGGUCGGACGGACGACUGCGGCGGCGCGCGCGUGUGGGUUUAUGACCGAACCCAAUAGGAUAUAGGUCUUCCCCCUUCCAAAGACUAUUGGUACCCCCUGGGGUCCAAAUCCAAUUCCAAACUUUCACCUUAUAAACCACACCAAAGUUUCCUAACUUUCCAAUGUGGGAUAAGUGUUUGGCAAAUCAAAUUCUUCCAUAAUCCUUAGUUUAUGUGGGUUACUUUAACACUUAAUAUUUCAUUCAAUUUUAAAUGGUUUUCGAUAAAUAAAUAUAUCACGUUAAUCAUCUCGUGGAGUAGAACGUGAAUAUGCUAGGUCCCGUAUUAUUUAAAAGGUGGGUCCCACUGAAAUUUGGGCUCAAAGUUGUCCGAUUAAACCAUUUUUUCUAACAAUCCCCCACAUGAAUGAAAUAUGUUGGCCUUUAUUCCAAACGAUAACAUGUGAUAUGUUUUCUCAAAGAGAAAAUUGAAGAAGAUUGCAUCUGGAUAAGUAGUCAAUGACUUUGAAUUUUCCCUAGUAAAAUCUAUCGGAAUUCCUUAGCCAAUCAGUAGCAAAUUGUUUUGAACAGUCAGCCGUUUAUGAAAACCUAGACAAUAGAAGUCACACAGUUUUUCUUCGAACACAGCUGGUUCUCACGUUUGUGUCCAUUUUGGCCUUGGACACCUCCUAGUUCAUGAGUGAUUUUUAGAGAAUUCAUGUUUACCUAAUUCGCUUAGAAGCGGCCCCUUCUCACUCACAUAGGUGAUUUCCAUAAAGAGUAAUUUGCUAUACUCCACUUGAACAAAUCAAGAUAUAGAAAUCAUUAAAAGCGUAUCUUAACCUAUUUCGCGACAGCUGGGCACUAGCUCAUCAUAGGAAUGGGUAGAAGUAAAAUCUUCCCAGUGCAUACUAAGUUUUUCAUAGUUCGGUUGUCCCAUUGAACCUAGAUCUUGGGAUUUCCAGUCAACUAGGUUGGGUUGCCACUAUGAAAACUUUUGAUUAUUUUAUUAGUUUUAAUCUCAUCCCCUUUGAUGAACUUUCGACUUGCUCUCUUGUUAAACUUUUAGUUAGCGGAUCCGCAAUAUUCUCCUUUGAUUUCACAUACUCUAUAGAGAUAAUGCCUGUAGAGAGCAAUUGUCUAACAGUAUUGUGUCUACGACGUAUAUGUCGAGAUUUACCGUUGUACAUUGCAUUUUGUGCCCUUCCAAUUGCUGAUUGACUAUCACAAUGGAUACAUAUAGCAGGCACAGGUUUUAUCCAACAUGGAAUAUCUUCUAGAAAGUUUCGUAGCCAUUCGGCUUCUUCUCCAGCUUUGUCUAAUGCAAUGAAUUCAGAUUUCAUUGUUGAUCUAGCUAUACAUGUCUGUUAUGAAGAUUUCCAUGAUAUUGCAGCACCUCCAAGUGUAAAGACAUAUCCACUUGUUGAUUUUGAGUCUUUAGUAGUUGAUAUCCAAUUUGCAUCACAGUAUCCUUCAAGUACUGCUAGAUAUCUCGAAUAGUGCAAUCCAAAAUUUUGGGUAUGUUUUAAAUACCCUAAAACUCUAACAAUAGCUUUCCAAUGAUCAGUGCUUAAAUUACUUGUAUAUCGACUUAGCCUACUAAUUGAAUAGGCAAUAUCAAGUCAAGUGCAAUUCAUAACAUACAUUAAACUGCCAAUGAUACGAGAGUAUUCCAAUUGAGACUUACUAUCACCAGUAUUGAAAACAAGAUGCAUACUAACAUCCAUAGGUGUUUUCAUAGGAAUAAUAUUAUAUUUCUUGAAUUUAUCAAGAAUCUUCUCAAUGUAGUGUGAUUGAGACAAUAUGAGACCAUCAGAUGUUCUAGAAAUUUUAAUUCCUAAUAUAACAUUGGCCACACCUAAAUCCUUCAUUUCAAAUUUACUUGUUAGCAUCCUUUUUGUAGUUUGAAUUAUGGUAUCAUUGUUACCCAUAAUCAACAUGUCAUCUACAUAUAAACAUACCAUGACAUAUCCAUUUGGAGUGUUCCUGACAUAAACACAUUUGUCACACUCGUUAAUUUUGAAACCAUUUGACAUCAUAACCAUGUCAAAUUUUUCAUGCCAUUUCUUAGGAGCUUGCUUUAAUCCAUAUAAUGAUUUAACAAGUCGACAUACUUUCUUUUCUUGUCCUGAGGCCACAAAUCCUUCAGGUUGCUCCAUAUAAAUUUCUUCAUCCAAUUCCCCAUUCAAAAAUGCCGUUUUAAUAUCCAUUUGAUGUAUAUCCAAACCAUUCAAUGCUGCUAUUUCAAUAAGCAUACGUAUGGAUGUGAUUCUUGUUACAGGAGAAUAGGUAUCGAAAUAAUCAAGACCUUCUUUUUGCUUAUAGCCUUUAGCGACAAGUCUUGCUUUAUAUUUGUCAAUUGAUCCAUCUGCUUUCAUUUUCCUUUUGAAAAUCCAUUUACAUCCCAAAGGCUUAUUACCGGGAGGGAGGUCUACUAAUUCCCAAGUAUGAUUUUGUAGUAUGGAUUCAAUUUCACUAUGAACAGCUUCUUUCCAAUAUGAAGCUUCGGUUGAUGACAUAGCCUCCUUAAAACUCCGAGGUUCAUUUUCUAACAAAUAUGUUAGAAAAUCAGGCCCAAAGGAGGUUGAAGUCCUAGCCCUCUUGCUUCGUCUAGGUUGUUCAUUUAUAGAUUCUUGAUCUAUAGUCUCUUCGUUUUCACGAGAUCUCUUUUGUGAAUUUGAUUCACCUUGCAUGUUAUAAGGAAAAGUAUUUUCGAAAAAUGUAGCAUACCUUGAUUCAAUAAUUGUAUUAACAUGCAUAUCAGGUAUUUCAGACUUAUAUACCAUAAAUCUGUACGCACUACUAUGGUAGGCAUAACCAAUGAAUACACAAUUAAUGGUUUUAGGUCCUAUCUUAACCCUUUUAGGUUUAGGAACUACUACCUUAGCCAAACAUCCCCAUACCUUCAAGUAUUUAUAAUUAGGUUUGUGACCUUUCCAUAUUUCAUAAGGUACCUUUUGCGUUUUUCAAUGUGGUAGUUUGUUAAGAGUAUAGUUGGCAGAAAGCAAGGCUUCCCCCCACAAGUUCUGCGGUAAUCCAGAACUUAUUAACAUAGCAUUCAUCAUCUCCUUCAAUGUUCGAUUCUUGCGUUCAGCAAUACCAUUAGAUUGAGGAGAAUAAGGCGCGGUAGUUUAAUGAAUAAUUUCGUGUUCCGAACAGAAUUUCUCAAAUGGUGAAUCAUAUUCACCACCUCUAUCACUUCUUAUGGCCUUAAUUUUUUUGCUAAGUUGAUUUUCAACUUCUAACUUAUAGUGUUUAAACACUUCAAUUGCUUCGUCUUUGCUUUUGAGCAAAUACACAUAGGAAUAUUGAGUACAAUCAUCGAUAAAAGUAAUAAAGUACUUAUUACCUCCUCUAAUUUGAACAAAUUUUAAAUCACAUAUGUCGGUGUGAAUUAAAUCUAGGGGUUCGGUACUUCUUUCAACAGAACGAAAGGGUAGACGUGACAUUUUAGCUCCUACACAUAUAUCGCAUUUGUGAUUAGGAUUUAAAUCACACUUUGGUAAUAAAUCUAAUUUGAUUACUCUACGCAAAGUGUUAUAACUUGUAUGUCCUAAUCGUUCAUGUCAAAUGUUAAAUGACUCAAGCAAGUAAGAAGAAGAUGUAUUCUUAUUCAUAAUUGGAGGUACAACAGUUAUUACAUUCAAUUUAAAGAGCCCCUCAUUCAGGUAGCCUUUUCCUAUAAACAUUUCAUUCUUUGAUAGUACAAAUUUGUCCGAGACAAAUACUAGUUUAAACUCAUUCUUACUUAGUAGAGAACCAGAUACCAAGUUUUUCCUAAUGUCGGGCACAUGAAAAACGUCAUUCAGAGUGAGCUCUUUUCCACUUGUCAUUUUCAUCACUAUCUUCCCAUGUCCUUCUACCUUGGAAGAUGAUGAGUUUCCCAUGUAAAGAUGUUCAUCAUGAUCCAUUGCUUUGUAGGUAGAGAACAUCUCGCGGUUUGAGCAUAUGUGACGAGUAGCUCCAGUAUCUACCCACCACUCUUUAGUGUUUCCAAUUAAGUUGCAUUCAGAGACGACCGCAGAAAGAUUCAUGUCUUGUACCUUAUCAGUGAGGUUCUCAUGUUCUGUUACAUUGGCCUGGUUAGUUUUUCCCUUCACAUUUUUUGGCUUUCGACAAUCCUUGGAUCGAUGUCCUGCCUUGCCACAAUUGUAACAAUUGCCUUUAAACUUUUUAGCAGUUUUUGAAGAACCAAUUUGUCCUUCCCCAUUGUGCUUCCUCUUUUUGCUUGUCUUGAAGCCUCCUUCUACAAUGUUGGCUUUUGAUUCCAUCAAAGUAGAUGCACCAUUCCUUUUUUUCCGUUUUGCGAUUGUCUUCUUCUAUUCUCAAACGGACAAUGAUAUCUUCAAGUUUCAUUUCCUUCCGCUUGUGCUUGAGGUAAUUCUUAAAAUCCUUCCACGAAGGUGGUAAUUUCUCAAUUAGUGCAGCGACUUGGAAUGAUUCACUUAGUUUCAUUCGUUCGGCAUGGAUGUCGCUAAGUAUGAUCUAAAGUUCUUGAACUUGGGAUAUGACAGUCUUGUUGUCAACCAUUUUAUAAUCCAAAAAACAAUCGACAAUGAAUUUCUUCGUGCCGGCAUCUUCGGUUUGUACUUUGUGUCCAAAGAUUCCCACAGUUCUUUUGUAGACUUAGCAUUGUAGUACACAUUAUAUAAUGUGUUAUCCAGUCCAUUAAGCACAUAAUUUCUGCAUAAGAAAUCAAAAUGCUUCCAUGCAUCAACCGCAGCCAAUUUUUCAGCAUCACUGUCUUGCUCGGUAUAUGAAGGCGCGUUUUCUUUGAGAUAUUUAGCCAGAUUUAAUGUCGUCAGAUAAAAAAGUAUUUUUUGUUGCCAACACUUAAAAUCUGACCCAUUAAACUUUUCUGAUUUUUCCCCGGUCGUAUUCGGGAGUGUGGUACCAGAAGUUGCCAUUUUUGAAUGCAAUCAGAAGAUCAACGAUAAGAAGGAGUAGAAACAGAAACAAAUAAUAAUUGAAAAAGGAAAUUCGUUUUAAGAUUGUUGUUUCUAGAGUUUGAAUUCACUCCUUCGAAAAUAAUCCGACAGAAUUACCUGAAUGCAAGAAUUGAUCAACAGGAUCCAAAAUUGUAAUUCGAGCCCACCGACUUCACGAUAUUUCCUUAAAACGAAUUUGUUGCCUUCAAUGGUGCUAAAGGCAUCCAGCAAUCGUUUCCCAGGAUAUAACGAAUUUUCGUCUCCUACGGAAGCAGCACUGCAGUCUGUAGGAGUUCCAACGAACUCAACGAAGUGCUUUUUACUUCGAGACAAUAUCAGAACGAGAGAUAGAGGGAAAUGAGAUUCAAAGCACAGAAAGUUUGCAAUGAAAAUGGUGUGAAUUUUGUGGUAGAAAUGCUGGCUAUUUAUAGACUUGUUCGUGGCCAUUCGAACAGUCAUCACCUUUCAGACAAGCCUCAAAAAUUCGAACAGACAUACUGUUCUUAAAAGUCGUGUCUAUUAAGUCAGUUAACAGUCGGCUGUUUGGUCGGUAAACAGUCGACUGUUUGGUCGGUAAACAGUCGAAACAGUCGACUGUUAAAAGAAAAUAAAACACCCAGAAUAAGCUAAAAUUUAAAUUUCAUUUUGUACCCAAGAAUUUGAUUAUUUACAAUUUGGCCCAAAAUUUUAAAUAAAUUUUGUCCAAAAAGUUAAUAUAGUGUAAAGGUCCGCCCGGACCCGCACCCGCACCGGACCGGACCGGACUCGGACUUGGACUCGGACUCGGGCUCGGGCACGGGCUCGUGCUAGUGUCGUGCCGAGCAGAGCCGAGCCGGUCGGUCGGACGGACGGCGGCGGCGCGCGCGCGUGGGUUUAUGACCAAAUCCAAUAGGAUAUAGGUCUUCCCCCUUCCAAAGACUAUUGGUACCCCUUGGGGCCCAAAUCCAAUUCCAAACUUCCACCUUAUAAACCACACCAAAGUUUCCUAACUUUCCUAUUUGGAAUAAGUGUUUGGCAAAUCAAAUUCUUUCAUAAUCCUUAGUUUAUGUGGGUUACUUUAACACUUAAUAUUUCAUUCAAUUUUAAAUGGUUUUCGAUAAAUAAAUAUAUCACAUUAAUCAUCUCGCGGAGUAGCACGUAAAUAUGCUAGGUCCCGUAUUAUUUAAAAGUUGGGUCCCACUGAAAUUUGGGCUCAAAGUUGUCCCAUUAAACCAUUUUUUCCAACAAUUACGCGUACCGGUGGUUCCACAGGGUUUUUGGAACUCCGUGUAAUCUCCAUUGUAACGGAUAAAUUCCACUGAAGCUUCAAGAAAAUACGCUCAUAUUUAUGAUAGUUUUGGAGGUGAAGGAGAAGGAAAAAGCCUUGACAGGAUUAUAAAGGUUUGCGUUCGACUUCAAAUUGACCAAAGUACCCUUGACCUUGAUUUUCUUGGAUUGAAGAUUCUUUUAAAAUCUUCUAUAGGAGGUUUUCCUUGAAAAUUACUUUCCUAAUCCUUAUCUUGAGGAUUUUGCGAACAGUAAUUAGUCUGGAUGAUUUUAGAGGGUAUUUUAGGUAAUAAAGAGAUAUUCAAAAUCGAAUUUACUUUUGUAUGUAAAAAUAAAAAUAACAAGAAGGAAAACGAAAAGAGAAAUAUUUAAUUGAUAAAGCCAGAACAAUCAUAGUGGGAAAUAGAUCAGUGGUGCAGAGGUUGGAAGCAACAAUGGGCAUUCUUGUCACCAGUGAGGGUGAUAAUCCUGCUUAUGUGAGCUUCAAUCAGAUAACAUGUCAUCUCAGUAUUAUGUAAUAAAACUAGUUCUAUGCUCAUGCAAUGCAUGAGAGGCAUAUUUUUUUAAGGCAGUGUUAGCGUGUUUAGUGUUACCAGAAAUCCUUGACAUCUCAUUAAUAUUGGUGGGGCAAAAUACUUUUAUAUUUUGAUUUUUGCUACUAUUAGGGAGUAGAAAUAAUUCUCAAGGAUAGUAAAAUAAUUUUAUAUAUUAUUUGCAAGUAAAAGUAGUGCUCGGUGGCACUCUAUCGAGUAUCUACAUUCUGAAGGAGAAAAAAGAUAACAAAAUACUCAAAGCAACCUUUAUUCCUAUCUCCAAAACAUUAUGACCGUUUUAUUGUCAAAAAAGAAACGGAUGUUUUUCCCUUGUUUUCGAAGGAGAACGAUAAUAAGAUGUUGGGCUCAUAUUUAUUUCCUUACUUCUUUUUAUUUAUUUUUAUUUAUUAUUUGUUCUCUUCGAGUCUGGUUCUGAAUGCCAUGUAAGAUCAUCUUCAACCAACAUAUGAGAAGGCAAGUCAUCCUAGCUCAAUGCUUUUAUGCUACAACAUCGGGUUAAAAUGUUCGGAGCAAAAUGGGAAACCAUAAAACACAGUAACGAAUAUUCAAUGAACUUAUUAACUCAGAUCAAAGUUACUAAAAAUAUAAAAUUAUGUACACAGAAACAAGAAAAGAAAAAAAGAAAGAGUUCAAAAUACACAAGAUUUGAAGCUGAAAUCAUCAGAAAUCAACAAAUGAAGAAAUUGUUUCUCAAAAGGAAGAAAACAUGAACUCAAGAAAAAGAUAAUCCUAAAAGAAGCAACCAAGAGGUCAACAUACCGAUUACCGUGAUAUGCCCUGAAUCAUUCAUGACAAUAGCAUCGACCAUUGUUGAUGUAGUUUUACGAUGCUUAGUUUAUUAUGAUGAUACCAAAUCCGUAGGAAGGCCUCGAAAAAAUUGUUUGCCUUGGAUUUGGAACUCAUUGUGAGGGUUUCUUGUUGUAUUGAAAAUCCAAUUUUCCUGUAGUGUCGAUUGCAUGUUUGAGGAAGUAAAUUCGAUGAAAUCACAGAUUUAGUUUUUUCAAACUCUUCACGAAACAUGAAAUUUUAACCACGUCUUUCAGAAAACAUUCUAAGAAAAUGAUUACAAAUAAGUUGGUAUUGGUUCUGUCGAGACAGGACCAUCGAGUCAUAGUACAAUAGUAACAUACACAAUAUGAACAUGGUCGAUUGCAAUCAAGUUGUCCCAAUAAUAACUAUGCCCCAUUUCCAAGACUAAUUCACAUGGUCGGCCGCAAUCCAUUUAUGUAAUUAUGCGAACAUUUCACACAAUAAAUUAGGAAUAUUGGUAUGAACUUGAAACCAUAAAGUCAUAUUGCAUUAUCAUAAUAAUUGAUAUUUGAUAGGUACUGUCGGUCCAGAAGGGUUUCAAAAUGAAUAUUUCAAUUAUACGGGUGAAGUGAACAAGUAACUAUCAUGUAUUGCCAAAAAUCAUCAAACAAUUGGCAAGUUACAUUUUUAAACUUCAACCUUCUAUGGGAAGAAUUUAUAAAUGGUUGAUGUCGAUGACAAAAAAUGAUGUGGUACUUUUAGAUCAAUUUAGAGGAUUUUUUAAAAAAUCAUCAUGUUAUUAUUUUUGGAAUAUUAGUAUAAUAUAAGGGCAUAAUUUUCAAGAACUUGAAUACAAGUGGUAUAGAGAGAUUUUUAAUAGUUCAGUCCUUCUUUUUUGGACCUUUGCCCCUUUAUAUAGCCCUUUAAAUUGGAGCUUGUCGACUUGCCGCUAUAAUCAUAACAAGCUACAAUGUCUGAUCGAGUACGUGCGACAUCAUCCUGUUUAGAAAGAUUUGAUUGGUUGAAGAUUUCGAUUGCAAUGUGGUCAUCAAGAUACCUUGGGUGUUGCCCCAUACAUUAUAUAAUUAUGAAUUUUCUUUGAUCGAUUUUUGCGGUGGCGUUGCUACCCAAGGGGAACACCUUUUCAAUCAUGUCAUAAUUAUGUUUUCAAAUGACAUCUCUUAUGUGCCGACCUCUACGAGAGGAAUCUUGGGUUGACCUUUCGUGUUGUCAUAUUUGACUUUGAUGAAAAGGAUCAUUCGAUCAAUGUGGGCUCCCAAGUUAUCCGACGUGUAUUAUUGGUAACCAUCAGCUAAUUAAAUAUAGAUAGAAAUGAAUAAUGGAUAAAAGUUGGUAGUCCUUGGGAAGUCUACUAAAAGGUGUAAUUAAAAAUAAAGUUUGACUAUUUAUAAUAAUUUAUAUUAAUUCUUCCUAAACCUCACUUGAACAAAUAAAGCAACAUGAAUUCUCGAAAUAUCACAGAUCACCCAAAUAAAAAUGAAAAUUUCACUUUCAACAAACAAUCUUGCGGUUUGAUCCAUGAUUGGUUGGAAAAGUAUAGGUGGCCGUACUAUAAACAAGGAGGUUCAAUCAAGUGUGCUUCAUUUGAUUUGGCGCACAUAACAUCAUAUUAUUGUGGAGCAUAAGGAAAGAUUCAAUACCUUAGUGUUUUCACAAGGGCCAUGGAAGUUUAACGAAUAUAUCAUUGUAUUAGUUAGCCAAAUUUGGCCUCCAUUUCACCGAACUUCAAAUUUAGCCCUUGUUUGACUUCCAUUAUUUUGGAAAAAUACAUUUUUCAACAGUGUUUUGAUAUUAUUUCAACAAUACAUUCUUUAAUAAAAUAAUAUUAUACGUAAAUUCAAAAUUUUUCUUUAUUUUUUAACUACACAUUCCCAUCAAUAGACUAUUCAAAAAUUCACUCUUCCCAAAAAAGGGGCUCAAACAAGGGCUUAAUCACACAUUUCAUGAAAUCUAUAAUUUUAUCAACUUUUCAACUACACAUUUACCAAUUUAAAAAAAAGUAAAACCAAUUCUACUAAAAAUCUAAUUUUUAUCCAAACCAAGUACGGGACUAGACUUGAGCAUUUGGUAAACACAUAAUUUCAACCACUAUUCUUUCUGGGUUAAAGUAUGCAAUGUUCCUCUAAUUCUCGAUAGUGAGGUUCAUGCAAGACAUUAGGAUGAGACGAUCAUGGCAGUGUAUUCGUAUUCAGGUAAGAUUAGAUAUAACCAGAUGUUUAAUACAUGGCAUUAGAAUUUUGUUGAAGCUUUACAAACUAAAAUUAAUCUUUUAAUUCUAUGAAAGAUUUCGAGCAUUGUGUUUUGCUUUUGGCUUAAAACAUGUAAAAUAACAUAAGUGAUUUUAAAGUAUUCUAACUGUUUCCCACUUGACCCUGAAAUAUAUUUUCGAGCUGCUACUGAAUUUAUGGAAAUCUAUUACAUAUGUCGCUUUGUCACUUGCUUAUUGAAACGUUAAUGAAUUUGAUGAUGUGACCUACAAAAUUUCACAUGUGACAUGAGUUAGAUGUUAGUCGUCACGUCGCCAAAAUCCCAAAUGAUAAGCUUAAGAUCUAUUUUGUUAAUAAAAAAAAUGAAGAAAACAAAUUCUGAACUUAACAGACAAUAGCCAUCUUCACAAACCUCAAACCCCCAAAUUAUGAACUAGGGUUAUUCGUCCUUCAAUUGAAUUUGAGUAACGGAAAUUGUACUCCCAAUUCAACCCAAAUAUGGGUGAUCCAAUGUGGCACAAUCUUUUGGGACAUUUAAAUGAUAGCACCACACUCGUUUUCAAAACUCAAGAGCUAAAUUGGCUAAAUGUAAGGAUCAUAAUUAUUAUGGAUAACUCGUAUGGCCCAUGAUCUUUUAAACAAAUGAAUAACAAAAUGAUUGCAGUCUUUAACAAAAAUUAAAUACUAUGGGUCUUCAAUUGUAGGACUUACUAAAUUAUAGGCUUUAACUAUUUAAAAAUUAAUUAAAAUUACAUAGAUUUUUCAAAACGAUAUUCAUUUCUAUAAGUAAUUUUGUUUUAUACACCUUUUCAUAGCAAUGCCCGUCUUAAUUUUUCACAAAAAAAAAUUCGUCUACCGUCUCACAUUUCCCAUUUAUAUUCCAUAAUAAUUUAGGAUCUGUUUGGUAGGGAUUAUGACAAUUGAUUUUUUGAUAGUUAGAAAGAGAAGUCGGUCCCACCUAUAAGUGAAGAAAUAAAAAAUGACUGCUAAAAUAGUCAAAUAAACAAACGGAAUUUACCCAAUUGUAGUAAAUACUGCCUCAAAAAUUAAUUAACUACUUGACAUUGUUCAAAAACAACGAUUUCCACCUAUCAUCCUCGAAAUCAAAAUUUUCGUCAUAUUCAUCUUCAAACCCGUAAGACAUCGCAUCAUUUUGAUGACCGAAUGUAACAUCAUCGUCGCCACAAGUGAUCUUCAUUAUGAAGAUUCUUCAUCAUAAUUGCCCUAUUCAAAUCUUUGCAUUUUAGGUGUGGUAAUGUUUUCGUUCUGUGAAUGGUCAUUUCUUCAAGAAUCGAGUUUCAAAUCGAUGUGUGCCAUACCAGAACCUUGUUCCUGAAAUGAUAAUUAACAAAGUUAUGGGAAAUAAUAAAGGGAAAAUUGUAGCAGCGGUACUAAAGCUUUCAUUUAUUAGCAGACUUUGCCCAAAUCUUCAUUUUGUGCCAUCGAAGGUCUCAAACCUUUCAUAAAUAUGCAGCCGAAGUCCAGAUGGAUGGAAUCCAUCCAUUUCACCGUUAGUUGACCAAAGAACUGACUUUGACUCCAAUUUUGACCAUAUUAGUAAGGGCAAAAUAGUAACUUGUAUAUUAUCCCAUUAAUUAAAUAAGUUAAAUAGAUAAACCAUAAAAAAAAUGAAAGAAAGAAAAUGUGGGCAUCAUCUUCUUCUCAACCCCCCCCCCCCCACCCCCCACCCCCACAAUCCAAAUUGCAAAAGUUUUGAAAAUCAAGAUGAUGGUACGUCCAUCUUCAAAAUAAACUUCCUGCAAUUUUCUUGAUUGAUCUCUUGUUUUCAACUUUUUGGUCUUUUUAGGUGAAUACAUUUUUAUUUCCUUCUGUCUAAAAAUAGAACACCCAAAAAAGAAACACCAGAUUUCAAUUUGGAGAAAUUGAUGAGAAGAGUUUGGAUCGAGUGAUCAUGUUACCUGCAAGAAACUUCAGCUUGGUCAUUUUAACUAUCAAGGUUGAGAAUAAUCCCAUUUGUGCUGAGAGGAACCUCGGAUCCAUAUCUUCAUUUCACUAAAAGGGAAAAAAAUUGGAUUUAACAGGAAAAAAUCAGAAUAAAUAAAAGGGGAAAUUGGACAAGAAUCGGGCUUUUGAGUGGGAUGGAGGUGGAGGUGGAAGCGGAAGCGAGAGUAGGGUGUGGUGUUGAGUUGGAGAAAGAAGGUUGGAGUGGGGGAUGGUGGUGGCCGGCACCAUGACGAUGGUCUGUUGCAAUUUAGAUUGGGGAGGGGGGGGAGAGGGGAGGAAGAAGAUGAUGCCCACAUUUUCUUUCUUUCAUUUUUUUUUUUAUUUAUGGUUAUCUAUUUAAUUUAUUUAAUUAAUGGGAUAAUAUGCAAGUUACUAUUUUGCCCUUAUUAAUAUGGUCAAAAUUGGAUUCAAAGUCAAUUCCUUGAUCAAUUAACGGUGAAAUGGAUAGAUUUCAUCCAUCUGGACUUCAGCUGCAUAUUUAUGAAAUGUUUAGGACCUUCGCUGAUACAAAAUGAAGGUUUGGACAAAGUCUGCUAAUAAACGAAAGAUUUAGUACCGAUGUUGCAAUUUUCCCAAUAAUAAAUGCAAAGAAUCCUUUUUCGAGUUACAUGUUUGUAUUACACUUUCUGACCCAAUGAAAAUGAAGCCUAAACAAGAGUAGAAAACACUUACCAUAUCAUCAUUUAGAAGUCUCAAAGCAUCAUAAUUGAUUCAUGUCGACAUCACAUGUAAAAUACAAAACAAAUAUACUCCAGUUCGCUCGUAGGGAUUGAAAUCAUCAUACAACAAGAAUUUAACAAAUAACGAAAGACAAUAAUUUCCCUAUUACUCUUAGCCAUGUCUUGAGCUUUACAUUGUACUGUGGCAAACAGAAAGAGAAAAAAGAAUUCCCAUUGAAGCCUAAUUUAUUACCCGCUGUUCCAAUUUCUCGGUGGUUUUAACAGCUUUCCGAGCAGAGGUAGUUUUCUUUGUUUCAGUUUCUGCUUUUUGUUUUUCUUAACCUGAAAUUUAUCACCAAUUUAGACAGCAGUCAAAUUUAAUCCCAAAUUGAAAAGUUCAAAUCUUACAGGGAGGAAAAAGUAUGAAAAGGAAAGUUGAAACCGGCAAGUCGCAAUAUCAUAAGCUGUCAAUGUUAACAUCAGUAUCGAUAAAAUGUAAGGGCCCUAUCGAUAUUUCAACAUCAGCUAAGAAAUGUUUAAAGACUACUAAAAUGCUUAAAACAGGGUUUCUCAUUACAUUUUGUAUAACAAAUAAUUAUGAGACUUGCCAUCGCUAUACUUAAGUUGCAUGGCAUUGACCAAAAACAUAAACACAGAUAAUGCGAGAUGGAGGGAAGAAAAUAAUAUGGAGUCAUGCACAUUAGUUUCAGGGAGAAUUUUACUCACAUAGUACUGCCAGAUAGUUUGCUGUCUGAAGAAAUCUCGUUUCACUUUCUCUUCAAAUAAUUUAGUUAAGACAAUGGUGCUGCGUUUACUGCCUCAUUGAACAUAAUUUCAUAAGUUGGAAUUUGCUAAAAAUUAAUUCUUUUAAAAAAUUAGUUUUGGAGACAACACAAAAUUCUUCAAGAUACGUAAGCUUUGGAGGUGAAACUAGACAUUUCAAAAACAAAUUCUCCAAUCAAAUCAAUCUGAUCAAAUUUCUUCUUUAAAUGUUAUAAAUAAAUACGUCCAUAUGCCAAACUCAACCAAUAAAUGGGAUGCAUUAAUUUGGGAAAUACCUCAAAUUGACCUAAGUAAAGGAAGAAUCCCAAUAAAUUAAGGAUAUCCUGUGCAAAUAUGACAAAUCCUUUCAUUAAGGGUAUUAUAGACAUUUUACCAAAAAUGAAUAAUAGUAGGCCAUUUAUAAAAAUCUCCCCAUUAAUUUCUAUGGUUUAAAAGAAAUAUUGAUCCCAUAUUGUGACUUAAAGAAGACAAUAUCAUAAUAUCAUCUUAUAGAGACUAUUUUGCACAAUCGGAACUAAUAUUAUAUUUAUUCACAUUUUACAUUCUCCCAUAAUAAUUCAAGGACAUAAAAGAUCAAUUAUCAUGAUGGCAGGACAAAUACGUAUAGUUCAAUAAUUCUAUCGGCUAGCACCUAUGUGAGAGCUAGAAGCCUAGAAUCUAUAGAUUGUAUGUUAAAGUCACAAAAAUACAUAAAGAGAAAGUGAGCAUCCGAAUUAACAUAACACUUCAUCCUAGCCUACUUGUAGAAUAGAAAGAAAGUAAAAUAAUAAACAGACAAAAAGGGGAAGGAAACAGGAAAAAUAUGCCCAUACAGAGGAACAAGGUAAAAGAACACAAACCACACCUUAAUUGAGCUAAGAUUAGAUGAAAUGUAAGAAAACAUUGAGGUGAUGCAAGGCUGGUAAGAUAGUCCAAUAACAUCAAUCAAACCAAUUGUAGACUAGAAAUUCUGCCAAAUUACCCCAAAUGCAAGCAAAUCUUGAAGAGUAUUAGUAAACAAGGCUUUACCUUUACAUGUUCUUUAAUCAUGGCUUCCCAUAACAUCCUUUUCAAAUAAGAUAUCCAACAAUCUGAAGAGCAUAAAAAAUUGCUUAAAUGCUUCCCCAACUCAUGUGUCUAGUGAUAAAUGCUUGAUUCCCUAUCAUAUUCUGAAAUAUGGAUCCUUUUCUUUUUCAGGAUAUGAAAUUCUAAAUGACUUAUCAGCUGGUGAAAAUGUUAGAUAUUAUCAACGAACGAAAAAAUUUCGUUAAAAGAUUUCAGCAGAGUACAGGACUAAAGAAGAAGCAUUAGAAACUUACAGGGUGCAUAGAAGUUUUGAUUAUUCAAACAAAAGUAAAGGUAUUCUAAUGGAAAGCAUGAAAGUAAUUUACCAUCAUAAAAAACACUUGUGAGAACCAUUGCCAGAGUUUAAAUGAUAAUGCAUGUGAAACAACAAUGCAUAUGCCUCAGAAUCAUCAAUAUCGGAAAGACUUUCUGAGCCAUCAGAUUUAUUUCUACUUCUUUUCUUGUACCUUUGUUUUUUACCAGAGUUAGUUCUUUUCUUAGUAACUAAAACUUCUGCAGCUAUCCAUUGUCUUAGCACAAAAGAUUCUGCAUAAGAAAUUUCAUACACAAAACUCAUGAGAACAACAUUAAAGAUUACAGCCAGUGCUCUCAGUUGCAACAUUGCAGGUCACGUAGCAACUCCACUCGACGGGAAGUCUCAACUUCCACCGUCUACAAAACAGAUAAUAUAAAUAAGAAAUGUGAGAUUUACAAUAACUAUGAUCUAUUUUAUAUGGCUUCUAGUUGAAUGAAACCUUACAAGGACUUUAUCAGCAUGAUCUUACACUUUGAUAAAAGAAUAAAGUUCCCAUAAACCAACACCCUGCUGGUGAAGGAAUCAGCUCUUGAUAUCAUAUUUGGAAAAAAAAAAAAAAAAAAAAAGUUUCCAAAAACCCUCUUUUAUUGAAAAAAAUAAUAAUAAAAACACAGGAGAAAAAUUGAAAAAACCAAUGAGACUGAUCUUCAAGCAAAUAAAUAACUCGGGAAUUUUUGCUAAUCAAUUUGGACAAAAACAGUAAAUGACUGCCUAUACACUGAAAUAGUAAUAUCACUGCGUAGAAUAAUCAACGCGUAUACAUUCAUCCAAUCUUAGAAAUAUUUAACAAUUUCAUGAGCUGAAAAUUCAUGAAAAUAUACGAGUUGCAAGGGAGUAAAAGGAAAGAAAGAAAUUACGCGCACAGAUGCUUCAAAGGGUUUUUGGAACUUUGAGUAAUCUUCAUCGAUAGAGAAAUACCGCUGAAGUUUCAAAGUGGAUAUGCGCAGAGUAGUUUUAAGUGGAACCCUUGACCUCAGAAUAUUACCGUUAGCAAUUCAAAAAUUAGCACCGACUCAUUCUUACAUAAAAAAAAAUUUUACCGUUAAAAAACCAAUCUUUGCACCUCUCUUUCCCUCCAAAAACACUCUCUACUGAACUCUUUCCGCAUCGAUCAAAAUUUUCUCUCCCUUUUUCAGCCAUGACGAAGUCUAACAACAAUCUGGAGAAGAAAACAAUGGGUCGGCGGAAGAUUGAAAUUCGGAAAAUUGACAGUAAAAACAGUCUUCAGGUUACCUUCUCAAAGAGGCGAAGCGGUCUUUUCAAAAAGGCAGCGGAAACGAGCCUAUUGUGUGGCGCAAAUAUUGCAAUCCUCAUCCAAUCUCCGGGGAACAAAUUUUUCACUUUUGGCGAACCCUCGGUGGAAUCCAUUCUAAACCGGUA